GGGUUGUGAGGUUAAGCGACUAAGCGUACACGGUGGAUGCCCUGGCAGUCAGAGGCGAUGAAGGACGUGCUAAUCUGCGAUAAGCGUCGGUAAGGUGAUAUGAACCGUUAUAACCGGCGAUUUCCGAAUGGGGAAACCCAGUGUGAUUCGUCACACUAUCAUUAACUGAAUCCAUAGGUUAAUGAGGCGAACCGGGGGAACUGAAACAUCUAAGUACCCCGAGGAAAAGAAAUCAACCGAGAUUCCCCAGUAGCGGCGAGCGAACGGGGAGCAGCCCAGAGCCUGAAUCAGUGUGUGUGUUAGUGGAAGCGUCUGGAAAGGCGCGCGAUACAGGGUGACAGCCCCGUACACAAAAAUGCACAUACUGUGAGCUCGAUGAGUAGGGCGGGACACGUGGUAUCCUGUCUGAAUAUGGGGGACCAUCCUCCAAGGCUAAAUACUCCUGACUGACCGAUAGUGAACCAGUACCGUGAGGGAAAGGCGAAAAGAACCCCGGCGAGGGGAGUGAAAAAGAACCUGAAACCGUGUACGUACAAGCAGUGGGAGCACAGAGCAAUCUGUGUGACUGCGUACCUUUUGUAUAAUGGGUCAGCGACUUAUAUUCUGUAGCAAGGUUAACCGAAUAGGGGAGCCGAAGGGAAACCGAGUCUUAACUGGGCGUUAAGUUGCAGGGUAUAGACCCGAAACCCGGUGAUCUAGCCAUGGGCAGGUUGAAGGUUGGGUAACACUAACUGGAGGACCGAACCGACUAAUGUUGAAAAAUUAGCGGAUGACUUGUGGCUGGGGGUGAAAGGCCAAUCAAACCGGGAGAUAGCUGGUUCUCCCCGAAAGCUAUUUAGGUAGCGCCUCGUGAAUUCAUCUCCGGGGGUAGAGCACUGUUUCGGCAAGGGGGUCAUCCCGACUUACCAACCCGAUGCAAACUGCGAAUACCGGAGAAUGUUAUCACGGGAGACACACGGCGGGUGCUAACGUCCGUCGUGAAGAGGGAAACAACCCAGACCGCCAGCUAAGGUCCCAAAGUCAUGGUUAAGUGGGAAACGAUGUGGGAAGGCCCAGACAGCCAGGAUGUUGGCUUAGAAGCAGCCAUCAUUUAAAGAAAGCGUAAUAGCUCACUGGUCGAGUCGGCCUGCGCGGAAGAUGUAACGGGGCUAAACCAUGCACCGAAGCUGCGGCAGCGACGCUGAUGCGUUGUUGGGUAGGGGAGCGUUCUGUAAGCCUGUGAAGGUGUGCUGUGAGGCAUGCUGGAGGUAUCAGAAGUGCGAAUGCUGACAUAAGUAACGAUAAAGCGGGUGAAAAGCCCGCUCGCCGGAAGACCAAGGGUUCCUGUCCAACGUUAAUCGGGGCAGGGUGAGUCGACCCCUAAGGCGAGGCCGAAAGGCGUAGUCGAUGGGAAACAGGUUAAUAUUCCUGUACUUGGUGUUACUGCGAAGGGGGACGGAGAAGGCUAUGUUGGCCGGGCGACGGUUGUCCCGGUUUAAGCGUGUAGGCUGGUUUUCCAGGCAAAUCCGGAAAAUCAAGGCUGAGGCGUGAUGACGAGGCACUACGGUGCUGAAGCAACAAAUGCCCUGCUUCCAGGAAAAGCCUCUAAGCAUCAGGUAACAUCAAAUCGUACCCCAAACCGACACAGGUGGUCAGGUAGAGAAUACCAAGGCGCUUGAGAGAACUCGGGUGAAGGAACUAGGCAAAAUGGUGCCGUAACUUCGGGAGAAGGCACGCUGAUAUGUAGGUGAAGUCCCUCGCGGAUGGAGCUGAAAUCAGUCGAAGAUACCAGCUGGCUGCAACUGUUUAUUAAAAACACAGCACUGUGCAAACACGAAAGUGGACGUAUACGGUGUGACGCCUGCCCGGUGCCGGAAGGUUAAUUGAUGGGGUUAGCGCAAGCGAAGCUCUUGAUCGAAGCCCCGGUAAACGGCGGCCGUAACUAUAACGGUCCUAAGGUAGCGAAAUUCCUUGUCGGGUAAGUUCCGACCUGCACGAAUGGCGUAAUGAUGGCCAGGCUGUCUCCACCCGAGACUCAGUGAAAUUGAACUCGCUGUGAAGAUGCAGUGUACCCGCGGCAAGACGGAAAGACCCCGUGAACCUUUACUAUAGCUUGACACUGAACAUUGAGCCUUGAUGUGUAGGAUAGGUGGGAGGCUUUGAAGUGUGGACGCCAGUCUGCAUGGAGCCGACCUUGAAAUACCACCCUUUAAUGUUUGAUGUUCUAACGUUGACCCGUAAUCCGGGUUGCGGACAGUGUCUGGUGGGUAGUUUGACUGGGGCGGUCUCCUCCUAAAGAGUAACGGAGGAGCACGAAGGUUGGCUAAUCCUGGUCGGACAUCAGGAGGUUAGUGCAAUGGCAUAAGCCAGCUUGACUGCGAGCGUGACGGCGCGAGCAGGUGCGAAAGCAGGUCAUAGUGAUCCGGUGGUUCUGAAUGGAAGGGCCAUCGCUCAACGGAUAAAAGGUACUCCGGGGAUAACAGGCUGAUACCGCCCAAGAGUUCAUAUCGACGGCGGUGUUUGGCACCUCGAUGUCGGCUCAUCACAUCCUGGGGCUGAAGUAGGUCCCAAGGGUAUGGCUGUUCGCCAUUUAAAGUGGUACGCGAGCUGGGUUUAGAACGUCGUGAGACAGUUCGGUCCCUAUCUGCCGUGGGCGCUGGAGAACUGAGGGGGCUGCUCCUAGUACGAGAGGACCGGAGUGGACGCAUCACUGGUGUUCGGGUUGUCAUGCCAAUGGCACUGCCCGGUAGCUAAAUGCGGAAGAGAUAAGUGCUGAAAGCAUCUAAGCACGAAACUUGCCCCGAGAUGAGUUCUCCCUGACUCCUUGAGAGUCCUGAAGGAACGUUGAAGACGACGACGUUGAUAGGCCGGGUGUGUAAGCGCAGCGAUGCGUUGAGCUAACCGGUACUAAUGAACCGUGAGGCUUAACCUUACAACGCCGAAGGUGUUU
This 2929-nucleotide ribosomal RNA is filed under the name Escherichia coli. Its description in RNAcentral is "bacterial LSU rRNA". It matches the Rfam family "Bacterial large subunit ribosomal RNA". Lineage: Bacteria; Pseudomonadati; Pseudomonadota; Gammaproteobacteria; Enterobacterales; Enterobacteriaceae. The record is from RNAcentral.